Molecule: ribosomal RNA, 432 nt
Filed under: uncultured bacterium
Lineage: Bacteria
Description: partial 16S ribosomal RNA
Rfam family: Bacterial small subunit ribosomal RNA
Source: RNAcentral
AACGAACGCUGGCGGCAUGCCUAACACAUGCAAGUCGAACGAGACCUUCGGGUCUAGUGGCGCACGGGUGCGUACCGCGUGGGAACCUGCCCUUAGGUUCGGAAUAACUCCCCGAAAGGGGUGCUAAUACCGGAUAAUGUCUUCGGACCAAAGAUUUAUCGCCUUUGGAUGGGCCUGCGUUGGAUUAGCGAGUUGGUAGGGUAAAAGCCUACCAAGGCGACGAUCCAUAGCUGGUCUGAGAGGAUGAUCAGCCACACUGGGACUGGGACACGGCCCAGACUCCUACGAGAGGCAGCAGAGGGGAAUAAUGGACAAUGGGCGAAAGCCUGAUCCAGCGAUGCCGCGUGAGUGAUGAAGGCCUUAGGGUUGUAAAGCGCUUUUACCCGGGAUGAUAAUGACAGUACCGGGAGAAUAAGCUCCGGCUAACUCCGU